This 468-nucleotide ribosomal RNA is filed under the name uncultured bacterium. RNAcentral's name for it is "partial 16S ribosomal RNA". It matches the Rfam family "Bacterial small subunit ribosomal RNA", at positions 28 to 507 of the family's 1533-position model. The record is from RNAcentral.
GACGAACGCUGGCGGCGUGCUUAACACAUGCAAGUCGAACGGAAAGGCCCUGCUUUUGUGGGGUGCUCGAGUGGCGAACGGGUGAGUAACACGUGAGUAACCUGCCCUUGACUUUGGGAUAACUUCAGGAAACUGGGGCUAAUACCGGAUAGGAGCUCCUGCUGCAUGGUGGGGGUUGGAACGUUUCGGCGGUUGGGGAUGGACUCGCGGCUUAUCAGCUUGUUGGUGGGGUAGUGGCUUACCAAGGCUUUGACGGGUAGCCGGCCUGAGAGGGUGACCGGGCACAUUGGGACUGAGAUACGGCCCAGACUCCUACGGGAGGCAGCAGUGGGGAAUAUUGCACAAUGGGCGGAAGCCUGAUGCAGCAACGCCGCGGGCGGGAUGACGGCCUUCGGGUUGUAAACCGCUUUCGCCUGUGACGAAGCGUGAGUGACGGUAAUGGGUAAAGAAGCACCGGCUAACUACGUG